Molecule: ribosomal RNA, 384 nt
Filed under: Triticum aestivum (bread wheat)
Lineage: Eukaryota; Viridiplantae; Streptophyta; Magnoliopsida; Poales; Poaceae
Description: partial small subunit ribosomal RNA
Source: RNAcentral
AUGUUGAUGUAAGACUACUUCGCGGAGAAUCCUACAUAUCCACCGCACCUCUUCCGGAGAAGGUACCGAAUGCGCCGAUCCCUCUUUAUCAAAAUUGUUCAAGCUUGCGAGGCAAAUUGCCGGUAUUUUACUCAAAGAAGAAAUGUUGCGGGCUUAAAGGGAUUUAGUGCAUAUCAAAAAAUCUCCGCGACAAUGCCGGUGAUUGCAUACGGUGUUCCGGCUGUCUAUGUCGAUGAGUACCUUCGCAUUGGUGAAGAUACUACAAUUGAGUCUGUGUGUAGAUUUGCAAAGGUGAUCAUACGUGUCUUUGGUCCUGAGUAUUUUCGGGCACCCAACGAAGAUGACACAAAUAAAUUGAUGGCAACUAAUGAGAGGAGAUGUUGA